ACCAGACUCCUACGGGAGGCAGCAGUGGGGAAUAUUGCACAAUGGGGGGAACCCUGAUGCAGCGACGCCGCGUGGGCGAGGAAGUAUUUCGGUAUGUAAAGCCCUAUCGGCAGGGAAGAAGAAAUGACGGUACCUGAAUAAGAAGCACCGGCUAAAUACGUGCCAGCAGCCGCGGUAAUACGUAUGGUGCAAGCGUUAUCCGGAUUUACUGGGCGUAAAGGGAGCGCAGGCGGCGCGCCAAGUCUGAUGUGAAACCCCGGGGCUCAACCCCGGGCAUGCAUUGGAAACUGGCGGGCUGGAGUGCCGGAGAGGUAAGCGGAAUUCCUAGUGUAGCGGUGAAAUGCGUAGAUAUUAGGAGGAACACCAGUGGCGAAGGCGGUCUGCUGGACAGCAACUGACGCUGAGGCGCGAAAGCGUGGGGAGCAAACAGGAUUAGAUACCCUAGUA
RNAcentral lists this ribosomal RNA (447 nucleotides) under uncultured bacterium. RNAcentral describes it as "partial 16S ribosomal RNA". It matches the Rfam family "Bacterial small subunit ribosomal RNA", at positions 330 to 792 of the family's 1533-position model. The record is from RNAcentral.